UGGAAUUCAGCUUGGAAAUUUGCACUCCAUUCAAACAAGUGGAAUAGGUCAGGCCAUCAUUGUGACCAUGCCAGAUGGAGAACAAGUAUUAACAGUACCAGCAAAGGACAUUGCUGAAGAAACUGUUAUAAGUGAAGAACCACAAAAGACAACGUAUUGAAAUAAUUGAAAGCCAGGUGGAGUCUGCAGAAAUAGAACCAAAUGCACUUAUCAAACUCACUUCCACAGGUGGAUCCCACAGCCCCUGCCCUGGCCACUCGAAUGGAGAAACAACUCCAGGUCUUAGGAGGAAACCUAUAGAAGAAACCUCAAGAGGAAUCUCCAGACUUUACCGAGGAAACCCUGAGUUGAAGAAAUGGGGACAUCUGUGCAGAUGCCAGACUGACGGGAUGGAAUUAAAACAGACAAACAGCAUUUUGAGUUCACAUUUGCAAUCACAUGCUAAGAGAAGGUGUGUGGAGGAAGAACCUCCCUGGACUGCGUGGCCAGGUUUCAGGGUCUCAAGGGGCCGGGGCCAGCGGUGGGGUCUGAGUUUCCCUGACUGUGUAGCCAGGGAUGCCUAGGGACCGUCCGCCAGUGACCUGUGCCUCGCACAAGAGUCACUAUGGCUGGGCGGGGGGUGGGGGGCAGAUGGAGGGGGUCUUACUUGACACUGUCAACUUGAUUUGUCUCUUUAAAAAAAAAAAGGCAAAGAGAAAAGCAACACGUGUCAGCGAAAAUGACUUUGGUCCUCGACAAUUAUUAGGAAAGGAUGUUCAGGGGACAGCAGGGGUCAUGAUGUAGAGCAGCUCCGCAGUGAGUUCCCCUUCCUCUCUGCCUGGGCAGCAGAACUGGGGCAACUCUGGGCUGUCUCCCCUCUGCCCCCCGUGUCUCAGUGUUCCCACCUGUAAGAUGGACAUUGCUGGGGGUGAAGGACAGAAAGGUCUCUGAGGUCCCAGCCGAGAGAGGUCCCAAGGAUUUCUAGUUGGCUAAGUCUUUUUUUUUUUUUUGCAUCUCUGAUGAGGGCACGGUGAGGUUUCAGGAUGUAGUGCCGGAGAACCAGGAUUGGGGGAUGCAACUGGGCACCUCCUUAUUUUAGGUAAAUCUUUUGAGGACAGACUGGAGAGGGCAAGGAGGUCCCUCUUCCUUCUAGUUCUCUGUUUUUGCCUUUUCUUUCCUGUCCCUGCAGCCCCACCUCUGAAUCGCUCUCUUCAUUUCAAAAUUCUGGCUGUUCCCAUCUGGGCACGAUCUGAUCCUCUUGAUUUCUUCCUGUCUGUCUGCCCACCCCUCUUUUCUCUCCUUCCCUCCCUUCUCUUCUUUGGGUCCUUACUGUCUCCUCCCUUUUUAGGGAGGAUUGGCUAUGUCCCUCAAUGUCACCCCCCACCUCGAUCCCACUACAAGCCUAUUUUAUCCUUUUCUUGAUCCAUGAAAAUCUGGGGCAAGUUCCCCGCAUGGAGCAAGGUCCAAAUGCAAUGCCAGGACCCCACCUGCGCUCAGAACCCCAGGCACCCCAGGUGAAACGGUGGAAGCCCAAAGGCAUCAUCCAAUGCUGGGUGGCCCUGAGGAAAGCGCUGCUCCUCUCUAAGCCUUGUCGUUCCCAUAGAGGAGCGUUCUGAUUUCAAACACUUCCAGUCCCCUCUGUCUUCUCUUGACUGCCCUGCGGCUCAGCCAGUCUGCUGGGAAUACCUCCUGGGUGCCUAGAUCUGUGUGGGAGGGGAAGGUUGGUAUGGACAGACACGUGAACGUGUGGGCACACAAACUCCCUGCCUGAGACAUCAUUCAAUUAGACAUCCCCUCCCUGACACUCCACCUGGGCCCAGCCUUUGCUCACUGAAAUUGGGGCUCUUGGGGGGCUUCAGAGCCCCAUCUUGGGGGGAAAGAGAGCCUUUCACAGAUACCCUCAGCCGCAUGGCAUCGGAGACAGAGGCUGGGGGAGGGGCAGACAGAGGAGGGACACUGGCUGGGGAAGUCCUGAGGGGGAUCAGAGGUUUUCCACAGAAGGGAAUAUUUGUGAUGAGUUUUGAGGGAUGACUAGGAGUUCUCUGGGGGAAAGAAGAGGGAGAAAAUUUCCCAAACAGUUUUAGCCUGGGAGUCAGAAAAUGUCAUUUGACAAAUACUCCCUGAGGCUCCCUCCAUGUGCCUGGGCCAGUGCUGGGGAACCCUCAUACAUACACACACACACACACACACACACACUCACUCACUCACACACCCCUAGACCAGAGCACCUCCCAAUAAAGCUUUUGGCAAACAUCUUGGCUUUCUCUGGCAGAAGCUCAGCUCCCCCUGCCUUUUCCUGCCAGUCAUUCAAAAAGUCUUUCAGAGCCUACUCCAAAUCACAGAUUAACACCCCUCUGGAUGUUGCUCCUCUCCUCAUCUCCAAGUCAGCCAUCCAGCCCACCUCCACCUCUUGGAUGGUCUGAAGUUCAAAUCUCCCUCUUGUGCCUCACAGUGGAGACUUCAAGUUCCCCGCAAGACACCUUCUAGCCUGUCCCUUGUCCCUGGGGUGGGGGUGGGGGGUGCACUCCUGCCCCACCAUCCUGAAUGAGAACUUUCGUCCUAAUC
Non-coding RNA from Odocoileus virginianus texanus, 2544 nucleotides. NCBI's taxonomy places the organism in Eukaryota, Metazoa, Chordata, Mammalia, Artiodactyla, Cervidae. The record is from RefSeq and is a predicted model, not a curated record.